Long non-coding RNA from Anopheles gambiae (African malaria mosquito), 6993 nucleotides. RefSeq lists it as uncharacterized. NCBI's taxonomy places the organism in Eukaryota, Metazoa, Arthropoda, Insecta, Diptera, Culicidae. The record is from RefSeq and is a predicted model, not a curated record. The transcript has 2 exons.
GCACAUUGCAGCAAUCCGGGGGAAGGAGUCAUACGGAUGCAGUAGUCGAACGUAUCGAGCUGCGCCUGGACAGUAAUCACACACAGGAUCAGAAUUAUUCAAGCACAUCACAGCACGAAAUUACAACGGUAUGCACACGCUCUUGAAGUCACUUUACUUGGAAUUCAGCUACAGAAGGCUUAAGACACUGUUGUUUCACUUAACUUUGUAGCUCGUCGUCUCUUGGAAGUGCACUGAGGGCAAAAGUUAUCCCGAAAAGGUAUAUAUACACAGUCGGACAGCUAGUUGGUGCGGUACGUUGCAGAUUGGCAGUAAUUCUUUCCUCCCCGCCAGAGAACGGUGUGGGAAUGCUGAGGCCGCUGACAGCGGAAAGAAGUCGCGCGAAUCCGCGAGCAACAAAUGCGAAAGAAAUUUCAAUGUUUUAAUGGAAAAAAGGCAGGUGGAAGCUCACCAUUCCCCGUAGCAGGCUGGUGGUCGCUGUGGGAAUCUUACCACCGUCAGCACAACAACAAUGCACCAUCAACCAAGGUGGCCAGACGCUUUUCAGUCGCGCUGAUCAGCGAUCCGUAUCUCCUCUGUCCGGUGUCCUCUGCCCGAUGUACCUAGCUUUUCCUCCACCCGAUUAUGAGCGCACAUUUACAUAACCACGAAAAUUACGUGCGCAUUUUUCGUGUUGUUGUUGCACUCGUGACACACCGUAGGAAGCUCCAAAUUGAAAACAAAACUGCUUCCCAACUCCCCCGCGAGCGGUUCGGAAGCGAAAGAAAGGAAAAGUGGCCAUCGGAUAAAAAAGUGUGGCGCGAGUAGACCUAAGCGAGUAGUUCCAAGAUGACCGAUUGUUUUCGCAGAAUAGGUAAAGCACGUUUCCCAUCAAGUGCUGAGGCGGUUAUGGGGUGAAAAAGGUUGCGCCUAUGUCAAUUUUAUUUCCCGAAAAAGGGCCCAUGACGUCAUUGGAGAGUGGAAAAAAGUGAACCACAUGAUGAACCCAUUGAACUAAUUCCAUUUCAACCCUAUGAAGGUGCCCUUAAAGCACACCCAAAACGCAUCAUAACGCACGUUGGCGCAAGCGAGAUUGUUGCCCUGGUCUGGGAGAAGGAGUGGCAAAAUGUGAAAAGGAAGGGUUAGGUUUUCCUGGCUAUUAAAAUUUGUGUUUUUAUCUUCAUUGUGAGCUGCAGCUUACAACCCAACGGCACGAGAGGACAACAUACAGAAAAGGACACAAUUGACAGGUAAUUUUGUUAGGAAAAUUUUGGUACUCUGAAGCAAAAACCAAAAAAAGAAAAAAACACUCAGACCCCCUUGGGAAACUUCUACCUUUGGGCCGGCUGGGCGCAUGAUUGAGUGGGAGGUUUAAUUUGUGGUACGUUUGUGGCGCCUCGGAUAAAAAAAGAACGUCCCCGGGUGGAAACUAGCCGAAAGCAUAGUCAUGUUCGCACCGAAGGAUGUAAUCAGCGGAAGUGAUUACGCAAAAAGUGACCGCUCAUAUACCUGCCGUGACCAAAAAAGUGUUUUUGCUCGUUUUUUUUUUGCAUCUUUGUAUGCAAAAUCCCAUUCCCGCGCGUAAUGGAGCUUUACCGAAACAGUGUGAGUAGUUUGCAGAGCAGGUUCGGACCGGCCAAAAAGUUGGUGGUCACGAAAGUGCUCAUCAUUGCGGCGAUACGGUUCCGUGACCACUUAGUAUGGCCGUUUGCGGGUGGUCGAUGGAAAGAUAAAGACAUCCCACAAGUGGAGUAGCAAAAACAUUGCCUCUGCGGAAUUGUGUUUGUGUGUUUUUUUUGUAUGUGCAGGAAAGUGCGUGAAAUGAGAGGAUGAAAUAAAAAAAACGGAAACAUAACGCAAUUCCCAUCCCAAAUUGCAAACGCGGUAUAGUUUGCGAAUGGAAAAAAUACAUCCAGCCACUUGCACCUUGGCGGUCGCGAUCAUGCAAAAAUCCAUGCGACGAAAGUGAAAGUACCACUGGUUGACCGGCUCCAUCGGUUCAAGGGCCGGGAAGCAGGAACGAAAACUUGGGGAAGAAUGCGCUCCAUGAAGUAGCUCCAUGGCCGGAAGCGCUCGUGAGGACGCGGCACCGCCACCACCACCGGCACCGGGUCGGUUUCUUCUGCGGGAGUAAUUUUUCGGUGAAAUGAAUAUCUGAAUUCGCACGCAACAAUGGCUACGAUCUGGCAAAUUUCGCCGACAGGAAGGGAACGGACACGAGAUCGUUAGUCGGUCGUUUUGCGGACGCACCGGAGGGGUUUUUGAGAGGUUUUGUUGCGAAUCCCAUCUGCCUGUCCGCUUGUUUGGCGUUGCCACUUGUUUCCUUGUUUUGUGCGAAAGUGAUCUUUUGAUGGAAAGAUGUUUUGUUGGUUGGUUGUUUUUUGUUUUUGCAUUUUUUGUUGCUUCUUCUGCUCUCAUUUCUUUGUCGGGGAACACUGCCGCUUUGGCAGUGGGGGUAAUUAUUACGGUAGGGUUGUCACGCUGUGAGGAGUUUUGGUUUUAUUUUAAGCUUGUGCGGCACGACUUUUGUUUCGGAUGCAAUGGUUCUAUGAGUAAUAAAAGUAAAAGUAAAUGCGUAAUCUGGCGUCAUUUUGCUGAGGAGCGUUAGACAAUAGAUAGAGAAGCAAAAUGACCAUAACAAGCCCAAGUAAGCAGCAUCAUUCACGUAACAAUUUGUAAAUGUAUAAAUUAAAAAAAUCCUUACUUAGUGUACUAUCGUCUACCCCCUCAUAAAAAAUAGAAAUGCAAUAAAAGCGAACAUAUCCAAUUGAUUUUAUACAAAUAUUUUUUUUAAAUUUUAGAAUCAGUUUUUAUCAACAUAAAAUCUCUCUAGUUUAGUCGAAUGUGAUAUUGUACCAUAUAAAAACUGGCGUAAUAAAAAAUCGUAUUUUUCAUAUUUAUUUAAUUAAUUAGUCAUCUGGCUUCAAGGAGCCUACAUCACCGUACUUAAAAUAAAUUCCUUAUUCCUAUUCUGUUAGAAACUAAUUUAGGUUGGUAAACAGGUGAUAUGUAAAGUAAUCGUUAAUUCUUCCAAGUUCAUAUCAAAAUCUACACUAUAGUCUAAAGCGUUAUAGGAUUUAAUCAUGCUAGACAAUGGGUAAGUUUAUAUAUUGGUAAGUUUUACGUUUAUGUUCCAAAGAUUCUAAACAAAAAGUAAACACUUUGUUCUAUAAGAAGGAUAGGGCCUAUGGAAUGCGAUAAAAUAGUAUACAUACAUAGUACAUUUUCGUUGAAUUGCUUCAAUCCUAUUUAUCCUGUAUUGUUGCACUGGGAACAAUAGCGCUUUACACAGCUUUUAAGCAUAAAGGGUCCCUUAAUGAACCACAAAACCUAACAGACGAAGAGUUUUAGAUAUUGUGGUUUCGAAUGAGCCUGGAAAGUUAUUUUGGUGUCUAUAAAAUAUAAAAUAAAACCACAACCAACUACCAACUCUGUGUUUUACCUCGUCCAACACGGUUAGGCGUAAUAAAAUUUGCAAUUCAAUUUAUUUUCGUAGCGAUCAACAAUACUCUGCAUAACAGUAUGAUAAAAAAUCGAUUACAGUGGAGUGGUCGUAUGAGCACCGUUCGGAAUUUGACUUUGGGAAUUUGGGAUAACAUUUUAAAUUAUUUAUUUACACACAUUGGCAUGGUUUUUUUUAAAUUGCAUUCUUCUAAAAAUUAUAGUUGAAUUUUCGAUACGAUUAGUUCAUAAAAAUAUCUGAAAUGUUUGUGAAAAUGGUUGUUUUGAAUAACGAUAGCAUAAAAUGCUUCAUUAUUCAUAUUGUACGGUCAUUUCUGAACAGCACGGAUAGAAAAACAGCGAAUAUUUGCGAUUGGUGUAAAAAGACCCUCCGUUGUAUUUAAAUUGGUAAACAUCGUUAAUAACACGUCAGAUUGUUGGUAAAAAUGUCAUCAAAAGCCACUGCGGUGUAAAAAAAAGAAUGAUGAUAGCUACCGACAGCUUGUAAAAUCGGUAAAAAGUUUAAAAUGUGGUGCGUAUGACGGCCAAUGUCCCAGAGUACGUGAAGAAAAAAAAAGCAAUUGACGCACAAAAUAUCCUUUGGAGUUUCUUUUAUUUCCACUGUUUCAUGGCACGAUUAAAUAUGGUCAUCGUAUCGUUUUUCCCAAGCGAAAAGAGAUUGUUAUUGCGCUCAAAGGAUAUUACAUUUUACACAAGCAAGCAUCAUAAGGACAGUGCAGAGAGUGGAAAAAGAGCUGUUUGUAUUUGUGUGUAUCCCAUUUAUCUCCAUAAUCAAGUGUACUCCAAUCAUGAAGUGCAUUCACCUCACCAGAGAGCAACACUAGGUCAACACCAACCGCUAUAGAUAAACAAAUUGGGGGAAAAUUGCACCGAACAAAAAGGGUUUACGGUUCACUUACUCACUGUGGAAAAGCACUGCAACACCCUGCUAGCCGCCCAAAUGGGGAUUCACUGUGUGCUACUUGUUGUAGCAUACGGGAGCGUGUGUUACUUUUGGGUAGUGGUAGACCCUCGGACCGGCACGAAAAAAAGUAGGUAAACGCCAACAGUACAGCUAAUAGCAUCAAAGUUGAUUGAUCGAGCAAUUUACGGAGCGAGGUAAUAAUCAAGCUGUACCAACAACUGUUAACCUUUUAGCGCCACGGCUUGGCUGGGUUUGGCGGAUACGCUGUUACACGACGGUAAUGCAGCUCACCACCACCCCACCGGUACAUACACAAACAGAAAUUAUCCGCUCUAAGCCGUGAUAAUACAGGUAGGUGGGUAGGGUUGGGCGAAUAGGAGGGUGUUAUUUUUCCAUGCGAGUGUUUUGAUGCUUUCAGUAGCAAUAACAACAGCAGCAGUAGCAUUCUGCAUAUGUUUAAAUCGCAAUAUUCCAUUAGAUCUUUUCAACCAAUGUUUCUAGCCAGCGUGUACAGUGCGAGCUCGAAAGCAAGUGAUCACGGUAGUCGGAUCUUGCAAUCAAUUUUUCAUUUCACUUCCAUUCUUGUUGCGGUUGUUGGAAGAAUUUUGGAAGAUAAUAAUACUUUUUCAUAAAAAAAGGUAAUGAAAACAUCAGCAUCAACAACCAAAGUGCGUUAAAAUAAACCAUCCUACCCACAUACACACACACUCAUACUGUCGAUGAAGUGUCCGAACAACCCUGUUUGUUGAUGUGUACGGGGGCUGCUGCAUCAUAAAAAAUCAAACAGGUACUUCGGAAAUGGGCAGGAAAAGUUUCUCCGACCUAUCUCGGCACCGGUAUGUGGUUCGUCCCCCAACUUAAGGGAAGGGGGGGGGGGGGGGCGGAGUGGAACGGAGAAAUAGGAAACACUGUUGGCCCGGCAACUUGCCACGAUAAAGGCAAAGAGGCUACAUAAAAAAUGAUGGCGUAGUGGCGUAGCACUUAAAAGUAAAAAUAUUAUCGAAAGCAACCGAAAGGUUGAAUUGGCCCCACGUAUUUUUGUCUGCUGUUGCCAGGCUUUGGGAGCCAGCGGAGGGAGAGCGUAACGCGUGUUGCACCAUAUCCGAGAGUGAGUGAGAAGGAGGAGCAAGAGAAGGAAUUGUAUAUUCGACGCAUGAUGAUGCUGUUCGAAAAAACUUUCACCAGUAAUGACCGUUCUAAUUCAUGUUGCUGUUGUUGAUCCAUCCGUGGCCACGCACUGUCGGAGUGUAAAAACAACAAGAAGGUAGAUUUGUCUACCGUCCCGAAACAGAAGUACAUUCUUCCCCCGUUGGGCUGCUGAACGUACGAUGCCGUGUUGGGCCACAGGAAGCGGGAGGCAAAAGGCAACACUUUCGAUCUCAAGCCGUCCAGCCGUGUUGGAGCUUUUUGGAACACAGCCGUAGGCGAGAAUCCCGAACGUUUUCUCCUCACGCUCCUCCCUGCUGCUACUGACGCGAUGCUUCUUGACAUACAUUGCACUUUCCCUUCCUGGCGAAGAUACCCGUAGAGCAUUACACUGACUGUGUGGCAUUUGGGAAGGAGCGAAAGGAGAACGAGUUGAACGAAUGAAACCAAGCAGCAAAAAAAAAAAAAACAAGGUGAAGGACCGCACUCGAAGCGAAGACGAUGACGACAACCACGCCGCCAGUUUGAGGAUCACUUUCCCGAAAGCCGGUUUUUCUGGCGCAAUGACUUUUCGAAGGGAACACAGUCCCGGAAUCGUGAGGUUACGUUUCUUUCCUCUCGGGCCCUUUCGCUGUAAUUCUUGUUUUCUUUCCUUCUUCCCUUUAACCCCCACUGCAGUUCGUUGCACCGUUGUAAAAGUAGCGAUCUUCAGGAUCGUGAAAUGCUGCCCAAAUACUGCUGCCGUAAUGAAAUCCCACACGACACAACUUUCUUUUUAUUUUUUCGAUUCAUUUUAUUAUUUCAUUCCUGUCAAAUUUUUGUUUGGAUUGAUUUUCCCACCGAACGCAAACACGCGCCAAACGUGCGUGAAGCGCAAACGGAAAUGGGCGCAUUAAAGAUACAAUAAUUUAAACAAUAAAUAACAGAACAGAUCAUUCUUACAAAACGUUCUUUCCUGCCGCAGCCCCGCAGUGUCGCCUUGCCUUUCCCAUGGCGCAGCAUUGUCGUUCCUCUUUGGGGGGAGGAUUGGGAAAAGCACCUUGGGUAAUGCAAACUUGGAGGUCCUCUGAGCUUAAUCGGUACUGAUCGUGUUCCGCUCAACUGCCCUAGCCCAUUUUGUCUCGUGGUUGGAAUAGCUACAGACGAUAGUAUCUAGAGAAGACGAUGCACAGAUUGUGGAAUCAUAGCGUUUCCAGAAGAUAGAACGGCGGGGCGGAGUUCCUCGCCGUGUAGUAGUGUCAGCUGAGCUUACGCAUGCGAAGCGUGCGUGAAGAAAGUGAAAAGCUAGUUAGUUUAAUAUAAACUUUUGUGAGUGUUUAAAGUCAGCCCAUUGGCCACGGCUCGGACGGAAGCUGGCCGUCGAACCACCUGGAUUCGGGUCGUACCGCGCUGGUUGUUUGUGAGAACGGGCCGUUCUGAUUCGCCAAAACCGUUAUCUGUCACCAUUUUUUUUUCCUUCUCCUUUCGCCCAUUGCUCAGCGGAACCGGUUUGAGAUGCCAAA